RNAcentral lists this ribosomal RNA (468 nucleotides) under uncultured bacterium. RNAcentral describes it as "partial 16S ribosomal RNA". It matches the Rfam family "Bacterial small subunit ribosomal RNA", at positions 28 to 507 of the family's 1533-position model. The record is from RNAcentral.
GAUGAACGCUGACAGAAUGCUUAACACAUGCAAGUCAACUUGAAUUUGGGUUUUUUAACUUAGAUUUGGGUGGCGGACGGGUGAGUAACGCGUAAAGAACUUGCCUCACAGCUAGGGACAACAUUUGGAAACGAAUGCCAAUACCUGAUAUUAUGAUUAUAAGGCAUCUUAGAAUUAUGAAAGCUAUAUGCGCUGUGAGAGAGCUUUGCGUCCCAUUAGCUAGUUGGAGAGGUAACGGCUCACCAAGGCGAUGAUGGGUAGCCGGCCUGAGAGGGUGAACGGCCACAAGGGGACUGAGACACGGCCCUUACUCCUACGGGAGGCAGCAGUGGGGAAUAUUGGACAAUGGACCAAGAGUCUGAUCCAGCAAUUCUGUGUGCACGAUGACGUUUUUCGGAAUGUAAAGUGCUUUCAGUUGGGUAGAAAAAAAUGACGGUACCAACAGAAGAAGUGACGGCUAAAUACGUG